UUGAAAAGAAGUCAAAAAAGAGACAAAUUAUUGUUAAUAAUUUUAUUGAGUUUAGCUCCUUUUCA
RNAcentral lists this transfer RNA (65 nucleotides) under Blastopsylla occidentalis. Its description in RNAcentral is "tRNA-Asn". Lineage: Eukaryota; Metazoa; Arthropoda; Insecta; Hemiptera; Aphalaridae. The record is from RNAcentral.